GAUGAACGCUGGCGGCGUGCCUAAUACAUGCAAGUCGAGCGAACGGACGAGAAGCUUGCUUCUCUGAUGUUAGCGGCGGACGGGUGAGUAACACGUGGAUAACCUACCUAUAAGACUGGGAUAACUUCGGGAAACCGGAGCUAAUACCGGAUAAUAUUAUGAACCGCAUGGUUCAAAAGUGAAAGACGGUCUUGCUGUCACUUAUAGAUGGAUCCGCGCUGCAUUAGCUAGUUGGUAAGGUAACGGCUUACCAAGGCAACGAUGCAUAGCCGACCUGAGAGGGUGUUCGGCCACACUGGAACUGAGACACGGUCCAGACUCCUACGGGAGGCAGCAGUAGGGAAUCUUCCGCAAUGGGCGAAAGCCUGACGGAGCAACGCCGCGUGAGUGAUGAAGGUCUUCGGAUCGUAAAACUCUGUUAUUAGGGAAGAACAUAUGUGUAAGUAACUGUGCACAUCUUGACGGUACCUAAUCAGAAAGCCACGGCUAACUACGUG
Molecule: ribosomal RNA, 497 nt
Filed under: uncultured bacterium
Lineage: Bacteria
Description: partial 16S ribosomal RNA
Rfam family: Bacterial small subunit ribosomal RNA
Source: RNAcentral